GAUGAACGCUGGCGGCGUGCCUAAUACAUGCAAGUCGAGCGAACGGACGAGAAGCUUGCUUCUCUGAUGUUAGCGGCGGACGGGUGAGUAACACGUGGAUAACCUACCUAUAAGACUGGGAUAACUUCGGGAAGCCGGAGCUAAUACCGGAUGAUAUUUUGAACCGCAUGGUUCAAAAGUGAAAGACGGUCUUGCUGUCACUUAUAGAUGGAUCCGCGCUGCAUUAGCUAGUUGGUAAGGUAACGGCUUACCAAGGCAACGAUGCAUAGCCGACCUGAGAGGGUGAUCGGCCACACUGGAACUGAGACACGGUCCAGACUCCUAUGGGAGGCAGCAGUAGGGAAUCUUCCGCAAUGGGCGAAAGCCUGACGGAGCAACGGCGCGUGAGUAAUGAAGGUCUUCGGAUCGUAAAACUCUGUUAUUAGGGAAGAACAUAUGUGUAAGUAACUGUGCACAUCGUGACGGUACCUAAUCAGAAAGCCACGGCUAACUACGUG
RNAcentral lists this ribosomal RNA (497 nucleotides) under uncultured bacterium. Its description in RNAcentral is "partial 16S ribosomal RNA". It matches the Rfam family "Bacterial small subunit ribosomal RNA", at positions 28 to 507 of the family's 1533-position model. The record is from RNAcentral.